UAGCCUGGGAACUGUGGAAGCGGCUG
Molecule: non-coding RNA, 26 nt
Filed under: Homo sapiens (human)
Lineage: Eukaryota; Metazoa; Chordata; Mammalia; Primates; Hominidae
Source: RNAcentral